GAUUAACGCUGGCGGCGUGCCUAACACAUGCAAGUCGAGCGGCAGCGAGUUUUACACUGAAUUCUGGAAGCUUCUAGUUGAAAGAGAAGAUUUAUUCAAGAAUUUUGUGUAAAAUGUCGGCGAGCGGCGGACGGCUGAGUAACGCGUGGGAACGUACCCCAAAGUGAGGGAUAACGCAUCGAAGGGUGUGCUAAUACCGCAUAUGGUCUUCGGAUUAAAGCCUUCGGGCGCUUUGGGAACGGCCUGCGUAAGAUUAGAUAGUUGGUGGGGUAAUGGCCUACCAAGUCGACGAUCUUUAACUGGUUUGAGAGGAUGAUCAGUCAGACUGGAACUGAGACACGGUCCAGACUCCUACGGGAGGCAGCAGUGAGGAAUCUUCCACAAUGGGCGAAAGCCUGAUGGAGCAACGCCGCGUGCAGGAUGAAGGCCUUCGGGUUGUAAACUGCUUUUAUAAGUGAGGAUUAUGACAGUAACUUAUGAAUAAGGAUCGGCUAACUACGUG
RNAcentral lists this ribosomal RNA (502 nucleotides) under uncultured bacterium. RNAcentral describes it as "partial 16S ribosomal RNA". It matches the Rfam family "Bacterial small subunit ribosomal RNA", at positions 28 to 507 of the family's 1533-position model. The record is from RNAcentral.